Tympanuchus pallidicinctus (lesser prairie-chicken) is the source of this 1099-nucleotide long non-coding RNA. RefSeq lists it as uncharacterized. Lineage: Eukaryota; Metazoa; Chordata; Aves; Galliformes; Phasianidae. The record is from RefSeq and is a predicted model, not a curated record. The transcript is spliced from 5 exons.
AGGUUCUCUUUUUGGGGAUCUCUUCUUUUGGAGUUUUCUACUGUGAGCUUAGGACACAGGUCAGCAUGUGUUCUGAAAUGUUCCUCUGGAACAUUUUGGUGUACUUCCUCCAGAGAAUGACAAGCUGUGAAGAGAGUCAUCAAUUCAUGCUGUCAUUGCUAUCAAUUCCUGAAUUAUGUGAUUGAUCACGUGAAGGUGCCACACGGUGGUGCUCCUGACUCCACGUUGCUCAACGGCCUGCACUGGCUGGAGGGAGUUAAAGCAGCAAGCCUACCAGAAAUGGCUUUGGAAGAAGGGCAAAGAAGUAAAAGAUUCAUCAAGGUUCAUAUUUCAGCAUCCUCUGGAAAACAGGGACAGAUACCUUUCUCUGGGUCAGUCAUGAAUGUGAAAAGAAGCAAAGCAGAGAGGAGAUGCAUCUUCUCCAUGUAAGGAGGGGAUCACAUAUAAUUAUAACAGCCAUGGUGGACCCAGGCAGGAGGUCUAUUCUUGGGACAGCCAGCAGUGGCAUUGGCCUAAUGUCAGUUGAAGUAUCCCUUUUUCUCGUGAGUAAAACUUCAUGUUCAUCUAUAUCAAGGCUAUGGCUCAUUGAAAUCAGCAAGAAUGAUUUAAUUGAUUUUUGUGUCUAAUCCUGUGAACUGUAGCAUUCUGUUAGUGUUUAGCCUUAUUCAUUUAGGAGUUCUGUUCAUCUCUCACUGAGAAUUUCUGAAAACUUUACUGAAAAAAUGGAUUGGGCAUUUAGCUAUUUAUGAGAAUCUUGCUUUUAAAUUGUGAGAAGAUAUCUUUUUAAUUAAUCCUUGCAGGAAACAAUUGAAUGCUUGACCUACAAGGAUAAUUACUUGUGUUCUGCUUUGAUUAUUUUGUAAAAGUUUUAUUGGAUUUAUACAAUGUAUUGCAUAAUGUAUGAUCUAAAAGUGGAGCUUUAUACUACAGUAUAAACUUUCUAGAGAAUUGACAACCAUGUUGUCUAUAUAAACACAUCAUUCUGUAAUUAGACUUAGUAUAAUUUUUUUUAGAAAUUAUCUUUGCUGUCAUUCUGUGUUUUGUAUAUUUCUUCAUACACAGAAAUUUUCAUUAAACCAUAAACUGACUAUUGCAGAAA